This 423-nucleotide ribosomal RNA is filed under the name uncultured bacterium. RNAcentral describes it as "bacterial SSU rRNA". It matches the Rfam family "Bacterial small subunit ribosomal RNA", at positions 355 to 774 of the family's 1533-position model. The record is from RNAcentral.
UGAGGAAUAUUGGUCAAUGGGCGCGAGCCUGAACCAGCCAAGUAGCGUGAAGGAUGAAGGUCCUAUGGAUUGUAAACUUCUUUUAUAGCAGAAUAAAGUGACCCACGUGUGGGUUUUUGUAUGUAUGCUGUGAAUAAGGAUCGGCUAACUCCGUGCCAGCAGCCGCGGUAAUACGGAGGAUCCGAGCGUUAUCCGGAUUUAUUGGGUUUAAAGGGUGCGUAGGCGGAAAGAUAAGUCAGCCUGUGAAAGUUUGCGGCUCAACCGUAAAAUUGCAGUUGAUACUGUUUUUCUUGAGUGUACAUAAGGUAGGCGGAAUUCGUGGUGUAGCGGUGAAAUGCUUAGAUAUCACGAAGAACUCCGAUUGCGAAGGCAGCUUACCGGGGUACAACUGACGCUGAUGCACGAAAGUGUGGGUAUCAAACA